GAGGAUCUAAAAGAACGCCCCGUUGUGUGAAAUGGCCAAUUCCCAAACCGUGUCUAAUAGCCUUUGUUGCUUUGGCAGGUCGCCUUCUAGGCGUCGGCUCCGGCUACUGCGCCUGCCAGAGGACCCAAGCUCGUUUUGUUUAGUGUCGUCUGAGACUAUAUAAUAGUUAAAACUUUCAACAACGGAUCUCUUGGUUCUGGCAUGAUGAAGAACGCAGCGAAAUGCGAUAAGUAAUGUGAAUUGCAGAAUUCAUGAAUCAUCGAAUCUUUGAACGCACAUUGCGCCCCUUGGUAUUCCGAGGGCAUGCCUGUUCGAGCGUCAUUAUAACCACUCAAGCCUCGGCUUGGUAUGGGGUUCGCGGUUUCGCGGCCCUUAAAAUCAGUGGCGGUGCCGUCUGGCCUAAGCGUAGUAAUUCUCUCGCUAUAGGGUCCAGGUGGUUACUUGUCAGAUCCCCCACUUUUAUAGGUUGACCUCGGAUCAGGCAGGGAUACCCGCUGACUUAAGCAUAUCAAUAAGCGGAGGA
RNAcentral lists this ribosomal RNA (523 nucleotides) under uncultured fungus. Its description in RNAcentral is "eukaryotic LSU rRNA". The stretch from base 171 to 321 matches the Rfam family "5.8S ribosomal RNA". The record is from RNAcentral. Lineage: Eukaryota; Fungi.